GUGGAGUGAUCUGUCUGCUUAAUUGCGUUUCACUAAGGGCCCAUAAAUUCAAGGUGUGUUAGCAAAUGCUGCUCUAUUGACCCCUAAUAGGCUUAAUUGUCUUUAGCGCGUGUCUCUACGAGUUCUUUAAAGCACUGCGCAUGCUGUUGGGUCCUGAAAGCAACGAACGUGACCGCAACGUCCUGUUGCCUCUCUAUAAUACCUUCUUAUUUUUAAUAAGAGUAUUUACCUGAGGCUAUUUUAAAACUAGACGGACCGCUGUUUCUUUCUUAAACCAGAGGAAGGUUGCGGCAAUAACAGGUCUGUGAUGCCCUUAGAUGUUCCGGGCUGCACACGUGCUACAAUGAUCAGUACAGUGAGCAUCUCAAUUUUAUAACACCGUAUUAAGCGCUUGGGUCGUAAUUGUUAGGCCUUUUGGGUUUUUUCAAUUGCGUUUCUCCAAUGCGCACGGUAAAGCCUGCUUCGAGAGUAAGUGGGUAAUCCAUUGGAAGUAAUGAUUUCCUUAUUUUUAUAAACAGCACACCAAUAUACGGCAUUCAUUCCCGAGACGGCUUAGUUCCGACUUUGUGCGAAUGUAAUGUAUUCUUAUCCGUAUGUGCGAUUGUCAAUUCAUGGUGGGGACAGACC
RNAcentral lists this ribosomal RNA (627 nucleotides) under Globorotalia inflata. Its description in RNAcentral is "bacterial SSU rRNA". The stretch from base 1 to 342 matches the Rfam family "Eukaryotic small subunit ribosomal RNA", at positions 1301 to 1501 of the family's 1831-position model. The record is from RNAcentral. Lineage: Eukaryota; Foraminifera; Rotaliida; Globorotaliidae.